AGUGAACGCUGGCGGUAGGCCUAACACAUGCAAGUCGAACGGCAGCACAGUAAGAGCUUGCUCUUACGGGUGGCGAGUGGCGGACGGGUGAGGAAUACAUCGGAAUCUACUUUUUCGUGGGGGAUAACGUAGGGAAACUUACGCUAAUACCGCAUACGACCUACGGGUGAAAGCAGGGGAUCUUCGGACCUUGCGCGAUUGAAUGAGCCGAUGUCGGAUUAGCUAGUUGGCGGGGUAAAGGCCCACCAAGGCGACGAUCCGUAGCUGGUCUGAGAGGAUGAUCAGCCACACUGGAACUGAGACACGGUCCAGACUCCUACGGGAGGCAGCAGUGGGGAAUAUUGGGCAAUGGGCGCAAGCCUGAUCCAGCCAUACCGCGUGGGUGAAGAAGGCCUUCGGGUUGUAAAGCCCUUUUGUUGGGAAAGAAAAGCAGCAGGUUAAUACCCCGCUGUUCUGACGGUACCUAAAGAAUAAGCACCGGCUAACUUCGUG
This 492-nucleotide ribosomal RNA is filed under the name uncultured bacterium. RNAcentral's name for it is "partial 16S ribosomal RNA". It matches the Rfam family "Bacterial small subunit ribosomal RNA", at positions 29 to 507 of the family's 1533-position model. The record is from RNAcentral.